CUGGACUCACCUGUGCAGAUUUGACAGUGUCCUCUACUCCUGCCACAACAACAUCAGCUUCUCCUCCAGUUUCUCCUCCAGUGCGCUCAACAUCAGUCUCUCCUCCACAAACUCCUCCAGCAGCAUCUCUCUCCGUCCCCCCAGUGCUUGUGAUUGUACUGGGAGUUGUGCUCUUACUGCUCUUAGUGCCACUGCUUAUACUGAUUCAGCAGAACAGAGUGAUGAGGAGAGCUCUCUCUAAGAGGAGACACAGGACGACGACUGAGGCCGUUUAUGAGGAGAUUCAGCACAGACACAAUCACUUCACUCA
Long non-coding RNA from Sinocyclocheilus rhinocerous, 310 nucleotides. RefSeq lists it as uncharacterized. The transcript has 3 exons. NCBI's taxonomy places the organism in Eukaryota, Metazoa, Chordata, Actinopteri, Cypriniformes, Cyprinidae. The record is from RefSeq and is a predicted model, not a curated record.